RNAcentral lists this ribosomal RNA (556 nucleotides) under uncultured Roseateles sp. RNAcentral describes it as "bacterial SSU rRNA". It matches the Rfam family "Bacterial small subunit ribosomal RNA", at positions 335 to 865 of the family's 1533-position model. The record is from RNAcentral. Lineage: Bacteria; Pseudomonadati; Pseudomonadota; Betaproteobacteria; Burkholderiales; Sphaerotilaceae.
UUUCCUACGGGAGGCAGCAGUGGGGAAUCUUGGACGAUGGGGCCAACCGUGAUCCAGCCAAGCCGCGUCCGGGAUGAAGGCCCUCGGGUUGUAAACCGAUUUAGUCAGGGAAGAAAAGACUCUUUUUAAUACAGGGGGAUCAUGACGGUACCGGAAGAAUAAGCACCGGCUAACUACGUGCCAGCAGCCGCGGUAAUACGUAGGGUGCAAGCGUUAAUCGGAAUUACUGGGCGUAAAGCGUGCGCAGGCGGUUAUGCAAGACAGAUGUGAAAUCCCMGRGCUCAACUUGGGAACUGCAUUUGAGACGGCAUGCCUAGAGUACGGCAGAGGGGGAUGGAAUUCCGAGUGUAGCAGUGAAAUKCGUAGAUAUGCGGAGGAACACCGAUGGCGAAGGCAAUCCCCUGGGCCUGUACUGACGCUCAUGCACGAAAGCGUGGGGAGCAAACAGGAUUAGAUACCCUGGUAGUCCACGCCGUAACCGAGGUGGACGGGGUCUCGGCAGGUUUUCCGAACUGUCGGAAGGGCGGAAGCUCUCCGUAAAUUCGGAGCAAAAAAU